CAAGGUAUUUUUCAUGCACCAUAUGUAGUGUUAUUGUGUAAAACUGUACUGUAUGCUUGAAAUAAUACUAUCUUGUUUGUAGAGCCCUGAUGAUGUCAAAGGGUAUUUCGGUUUCAAACUGGGUGUGCGAAACCUUGCCUCACCCACUUCAGAGGGAUGCCAUAUCAUGUGGUGUGUUUGCUUUGAAGUUUGCAGAACACAUUCUGCAAAAUACCACUAUAAACUUCUCCAGUGAUCUGCAAUAUUUAACACAAUGCAGAAUGGAGAUUCCUUUAACUCUGCUCCGGCAAUCUGAUGACCUAAGUGACCUGUGCCAUUUUUGCGGAGAGGCAGAAACUUUUGACGACUCUGAAGGAGAGGCAGAAACAUUGACUGCAUGGGUAAAU
This is a non-coding RNA of Pimephales promelas (fathead minnow), 386 nucleotides long. NCBI's taxonomy places the organism in Eukaryota, Metazoa, Chordata, Actinopteri, Cypriniformes, Leuciscidae. The record is from RefSeq and is a predicted model, not a curated record.